CACGGUCCCAGACGUG
RNAcentral lists this unclassified non-coding RNA (16 nucleotides) under unclassified sequences. Its description in RNAcentral is "Aptamer that binds to HIV-1 trans-activating responsive RNA". The record is from RNAcentral. RNAcentral also lists the same sequence under 1 other name.